CAGCGCUGAGCCGCAUGCCGACACUACUUCGUAGUGUGAGGACCCGGGAUUCCGGACCGCGGCAGCUUUGGGAUUUGGGGGCUCGCCUAAAAACCGCGAAGAGACUUCGGGGCUGGGCCUGGGGCUGGCGGAGCUCGAGCUCCGCGCCGGGAUCAGAGCAUGCGGCGGCGCUAGGGCGCGUGAAAGCGGACCACUACCAGCUCGUCUACACCUGCAAGGUCUGUGGGACUCGGUCAUCCAAGCACAUCUCAAAGUUGGCCUAUCACCAGGGUGUGGUCAUCGUGACUUGCCCUGGUUGCCAGAACCACCACAUCAUCGCAGACAACCUAAGCUGGUUCUCUGACCUGAAGGGGAAGAGGUGAGGCCCGCUGGGAGGGGUAGGAGACUGUAGGAUUGUGUGCCUUUAUGAGCCUGGGUCCAUCGCCUCUCCUACCUGGAUAGCCCAGCUUCCUCCACGUGGAUGAUCUGGAAGCGGUUGAAUUUGAACUUUAGAUAAACUAUAAUCGGCCUCGAAUAUGGCAAACUAGUUCUGUGGCUCUACCGCUCUCGCUGCCUGACCUCUGAUCUCUCCAGUGGCCUCAUAACUUUCUAGUGGAGGCUUUUUGUGUUCUGCUAACUCAGGGCAGAUGGAAGGGUAUGUGUCAGACUGUGAACUGGCACUGGCCUUCAGUUGGUAUUCUCACCUUGGGGAGAGCAGUGGGGAGAGCCAGGAGUCAGUUCGGAGGAGAUUGGUCUAUGGCUAGGACUGAUGGUCACUGAG
This 760-nucleotide long non-coding RNA is filed under the name Rattus norvegicus (Norway rat). RNAcentral describes it as "long non-coding RNA NONRATT019080". Lineage: Eukaryota; Metazoa; Chordata; Mammalia; Rodentia; Muridae. The record is from RNAcentral.